Molecule: ribosomal RNA, 496 nt
Filed under: uncultured bacterium
Lineage: Bacteria
Description: partial 16S ribosomal RNA
Rfam family: Bacterial small subunit ribosomal RNA
Source: RNAcentral
AUGAACGCUGGCGGCGUGCCUAAUCCAUGCAAGUCGCGCGAACAGACGAGGAGCUUGCUCCUCUGACGUUAGCGGCGGCCGGGUGAGUAACCCGUGGAUAACCUACCUAUAAGACUGGGAUAACUUCGGGAAACCGGAGCUAAUACCGGAUAAUAUAUUGAACCGCAUGGUUCAAUAGUGAAAGACGGUUUUGCUGUCACUUAUAGAUGGAUCCGCGCCACAUUAGCUAGUUGGUAAGGUAACGGCUUACCAAGGCAACGAUGCGUAGCCGACCUGAGAGGGUGAUCGGCCACACUGGAACUGAGACACGGUCCAGACUCCUACGGGAGGCAGCAGUAGGGAAUCUUCCGCAAUGGGCGAAAGCCUGACGGAGCAACGCCGCGUGAGUGAUGAAGGUCUUCGGAUCGUAAAACUCUGUUAUUAGGGAAGAACAAAUGUGUAAGUAACUAUGCACGUCUUGACGGUACCUAAUCAGAAAGCCACGGCUAACUACGUG